Molecule: long non-coding RNA, 514 nt
Organism: Alosa alosa (allis shad)
Lineage: Eukaryota; Metazoa; Chordata; Actinopteri; Clupeiformes; Clupeidae
Exons: 3
Source: RefSeq, a predicted model, not a curated record
ACCUGAGGGAUGGAAAACCCAUCCCGAAGGAAACCUUCAUGGUGCGGUUCAGAGAAGCGGAGGCAAGUGUUCCUGGCAUAGCAGCAAAAGCUGCGGAAGCACUAGCAUAUGAUGAGCCUGUUGUUUUAACAGAUGCCCAGGGAAAUCAGCUUCUUGACACGAGUGGAACUACAGCCAUGGAGAUGGAGGGGGCGGUCUAGAAGAAAUAUCCAGGAAAAUUGAAGAUGUGCUGUCUGUAGCACAGGAACUUGGUGGAGUUGCUGCCUCUUUAAGGAGCCUGGUACAACUCAGCAAUGCAACAACAUGCCUUGUGAUCUCAUCACAGCAAGCUGAGGAGAUAAAGGCGUUGUUUGCCUGUUUAGUCUGCAAAGGGCCAAUGAAUGAACCUGUGCUGUCUUCAUGCUGCUCUAGUCUGGUAGGGUGCAGAUUGUGUGUGGAGUGGUGGGGCCUAACCUCAGACAUUUGUCUGAAAUGCAGAGCUUCAAACUUCACCCUACAGCGAGUCAAUGGGUUA